UACGGAGGGUGCAAGCGUUAUCCGGAUUCACUGGGUUUAAAGGGUGCGUGGGUAGGUCUGUAAGUCAGUGGUGAAAUCUCCGUGCUUAACAUGGAAACUGCCAUUGAUACUAUAGGUCUUGAAUUUUCUGGAGGUAAGCGGAAUAUGUCAUGUAGCGGUGAAAUGCUUAGAUAUGACAUAGAACACCAAUUGCGAAGGCAGCUUACUACGGGAACAUUGACACUGAGGCACGAAAGCGUGGGGAUCAAACAGG
Molecule: unclassified non-coding RNA, 253 nt
Filed under: uncultured Chitinophagaceae bacterium
Lineage: Bacteria; Pseudomonadati; Bacteroidota; Chitinophagia; Chitinophagales; Chitinophagaceae
Description: contains 16S-23S intergenic spacer region
Rfam family: Bacterial small subunit ribosomal RNA
Source: RNAcentral